CGGUAUGUUGGCUAAUAGGCAAGCCCCUGCAUUUGGGAUGCAGAAUAUGCAAGUUCGAGUCUUGUCAUACCGA
This 73-nucleotide transfer RNA is filed under the name Caudoviricetes sp. RNAcentral describes it as "tRNA-Pro". It matches the Rfam family "tRNA". Rfam says of the family: Transfer RNA (tRNA) molecules are approximately 80 nucleotides in length. Their secondary structure includes four short double-helical elements and three loops (D, anti-codon, and T loops). Further hydrogen bonds mediate the characteristic L-shaped molecular structure. tRNAs have two regions of fundamental functional importance: the anti-codon, which is responsible for specific mRNA codon recognition, and the 3' end, to which the tRNAs corresponding amino acid is attached (by aminoacyl-tRNA synthetases). tRNAs cope with the degeneracy of the genetic code in two manners: having more than one tRNA (with a specific anti-codon) for a particular amino acid; and 'wobble' base-pairing, i.e. permitting non-standard base-pairing at the 3rd anti-codon position. The record is from RNAcentral. Lineage: Duplodnaviria; Heunggongvirae; Uroviricota; Caudoviricetes.